AAGCCAGUCCAUGAAUCUGCUUCCCUGAUUGUGUUUUUGAAUAAGCUGGCAGUAGUAAAGCCAUGUUACAAGCCUAAAUAACACUGGGGCCACUAAGGUCCCUGAAAGUGACUGCAUGA
This 119-nucleotide small nucleolar RNA is filed under the name Erinaceus europaeus (western European hedgehog). Its description in RNAcentral is "Small nucleolar RNA SNORA33 (ENSEEUG00000018980.1)". It matches the Rfam family "Small nucleolar RNA SNORA33". Rfam says of the family: ACA33 is a member of the H/ACA class of snoRNA that guide the sites of modification of uridines to pseudouridines. Lineage: Eukaryota; Metazoa; Chordata; Mammalia; Eulipotyphla; Erinaceidae. The record is from Rfam by way of RNAcentral.